CGUACAAGCAGUGGGAGCACGCUUCGGCGUGUGACUGCGUACCUUUUGUAUAAUGGGUCAGCGACUUAUAUUCUGUAGCAAGGUUAACCGAAUAGGGGAGCCGAAGGGAAACCGAGUCUUAACUGGGCGUUAAGUUGCAGGGUAUAGACCCGAAACCCGGUGAUCUAGCCAUGGGCAGGUUGAAGGUUGGGUAACACUAACUGGAGGACCGAACCGACUAAUGUUGAAAAAUUAGCGGAUGACUUGUGGCUGGGGGUGAAAGGCCAAUCAAACCGGGAGAUAGCUGGUUCUCCCCGAAAGCUAUUUAGGUAGCGCCUCGUGAAUUCAUCUCCGGGGGUAGAGCACUGUUUCGGCAAGGGGGUCAUCCCGACUUACCAACCCGAUGCAAACUGCGAAUACCGGAGAAUGUUAUCACGGGAGACACACGGCGGGUGCUAACGUCCGUCGUGAAGAGGGAAACAACCCAGACCGCCAGCUAAGGUCCCAAAGUCAUGGUUAAGUGGGAAACGAUGUGGGAAGGCCCAGACAGCCAGGAUGUUGGCUUAGAAGCAGCCAUCAUUUAAAGAAAGCGUAAUAGCUCACUGGUCGAGUCGGCCUGCGCGGAAGAUGUAACGGGGCUAAACCAUGCACCGAAGCUGCGGCAGCGACACUAUGUGUUGUUGGGUAGGGGAGCGUUCUGUAAGCCUGUGAAGGUGUACUGUGAGGUAUGCUGGAGG
Molecule: ribosomal RNA, 716 nt
Filed under: Escherichia coli
Lineage: Bacteria; Pseudomonadati; Pseudomonadota; Gammaproteobacteria; Enterobacterales; Enterobacteriaceae
Description: partial 23S ribosomal RNA
Rfam family: Bacterial large subunit ribosomal RNA
Source: RNAcentral